CUCUCUAUUUUCGGUAUCAUGGGACCAACUAGUGCCACUUGUAACUUAGGUUUUCCUUACACCAGUGGAUGAAGAAUCCAUGCAACAAGUAUAUGUAUGUUGUCAAACAUAUCAUUAAUGGCAUUUGACUUUAACGCCAUUUCUGCCGAAUCUAGAGUUGUAGUUGAACCACUGAAUAAAAAGUGGCAUUGAUUAUUACAGAGAACACAACCAUAUCCAGAGAAGAAA
RNAcentral lists this long non-coding RNA (228 nucleotides) under Lupinus angustifolius (narrow-leaved blue lupine). RNAcentral's name for it is "long non-coding RNA (LANG_LNC000007)". Lineage: Eukaryota; Viridiplantae; Streptophyta; Magnoliopsida; Fabales; Fabaceae. The record is from RNAcentral.